CAGCAGCCACGGGAAUACGUAGGUGGCAAGCGUUGUCCGGAAUUAUUGGGCGUAAAGGGCUCGCAGGCGGUUUCUUAAGUCUGAUGUGAAAGCCCCCGGCUCAACCGGGGAGGGUCAUUGGAAACUGGGAGACUUGAGUGCAGAAGGGGAGAGUGGAAUUCCAUGUGUAGCGGUGAAAUGCGUAGAUAUAUGGAGGAACACCGGUGGCGAAAGCGGCUCUCUGGUCUGUAACUGACGCUGAGGCUCGAAAGCGUGGGGAGCAAACAGGAUUAGAUACCCCUGUAGUCCCUGUCUCUUAUAC
Molecule: ribosomal RNA, 301 nt
Filed under: uncultured bacterium
Lineage: Bacteria
Description: partial 16S ribosomal RNA
Rfam family: Bacterial small subunit ribosomal RNA
Source: RNAcentral